This is a non-coding RNA of Delphinapterus leucas (beluga whale), 531 nucleotides long. Lineage: Eukaryota; Metazoa; Chordata; Mammalia; Artiodactyla; Monodontidae. The record is from RefSeq and is a predicted model, not a curated record.
GCGGCGAAAGGGCCCUAAGGGUGAACUCGGUCUGGGCGAUGACGGAAUUGACUCUGACUGGAAGUCCAGAAUCACCAGAAGAUAACUCAAGGCAUAGUUCAGUUGUGACUUGCAAAAACUUAAGGUUUGAGACUUGGUGGCUCAGCAUCCUGUGUACCAUCAUAACCAUUAUCUUCUAUGAGGAAGGGAGAUACUAUUUUCCUACUCAAAGCCAAUUCACUGGUUUCACUACUGAAUACCAACCUCCACCCUGCCACCAUGAUCCUCAGAGGGUAAGACUCACUAUGGGGACUUGAGCAGUGGUCUCUCCAAUUCCAGAUGGGAUGUCAGUUAUCCAUGCUGAAUGAUCUAGAUCUCCACUUAUAAAUAUGAGCAGAUAAAAAAUAUCACUAAUCCUAAAGAGAAGAUCCACCAUUUGAAAGAAGAGGACCAAAUCAGAGCAGCUAUCACUCACUAAAAUGGAAUUAAUGCAGGAAAUAGGAGAAAACUUUUUUUUAAAAUCCUGUUCAUGUUCUUAACUGAAAUUUAAAG